This 429-nucleotide ribosomal RNA is filed under the name Actinomycetes bacterium. RNAcentral's name for it is "Actinobacteria bacterium partial 16S ribosomal RNA". It matches the Rfam family "Bacterial small subunit ribosomal RNA", at positions 355 to 776 of the family's 1533-position model. The record is from RNAcentral. Lineage: Bacteria; Bacillati; Actinomycetota; Actinomycetes.
UAGGGAAUCUUCCGCAAUGGGCGAAAGCCUGACGGAGCAACGCCGCGUGAGUGAUGAAGGUCUUCGGAUCGUAAAACUCUGUUAUUAGGGAAGAACAAAUGUGUAAGUAACUAUGCACGUCUUGACGGUACCUAAUCAGAAAGCCACGGCUAACUACGUGCCAGCAGCCGCGGUAAUACGUAGGUGGCAAGCGUUAUCCGGAAUUAUUGGACGUAAAGCGCGCGUAGGCGGUUUUUUAAGUCUGAUGUGAAAGCCCACGGCUCAACCGUGGAGGGUCAUUGGAAACUGGAAAACUUGAGUGCAGAAGAGGAAAGUGGAAUUCCAUGUGUAGCGGUGAAAUGCGCAGAGAUAUGGAGGAACACCAGUGGCGAAGGCGACUUUCUGGUCUGUAACUGACGCUGAUGUGCGAAAGCGUGGGGAUCAAACAGG